GCUCUUGCUGCUUUGCUUUUAGUUCUUUCACUGAAGGGUACCUCCGCCGCACACCACCACCACCACCAACUCAAGUCUCUCCAUUUUUCACUUUACCAACAUGAAACCAUCAACAAAACUGGAUAUAUCAUAGUGAAUGGUGUUGCAGGAGCAAACCUCAGUCAACUCGCACUGCCUUUCGGUACCUUAUUUGUUUUCCAGGAUCCCAUGACAGUUACAGCCAACCGAACUUGUCGUUGGCAUCGCAGAAGGAAAUUCCAUAACAUCUAGUCUCGAUGGGCUAACGAGCAUUUCUACUGCUAAGAUCACUUUAAGUUUGAAAAACCACAAAGGGUCAAUCUCCAUCGUUGGAGGUACGCAUAAUGUCAAACCUGCUGAUCAUCCUGUUGUGGGAGGCACUGGUGACUUCAUGUUUGUACAAGGCUAUGUAACAUCUUCUCCGGUGGAUCUCGUUGGCCUCACUGUUGUCUACAGGAUUGAAUUUCACCUGUACUGGCCUCCAUAUGCAGA
This 510-nucleotide unclassified non-coding RNA is filed under the name Hevea brasiliensis (rubber tree). The record is from RNAcentral. Lineage: Eukaryota; Viridiplantae; Streptophyta; Magnoliopsida; Malpighiales; Euphorbiaceae.